AUUGAACGCUGGCGGCAUGCUUUACACAUGCAAGUCGAACGGAAACAGGCCGCAAGGUGCUGACGAGCGGUGAACGGGGGAGUAUGGCAACCGAACGUGUCAAGUCGUGGGGGAAAAGUAAUAGAAAGGGGAAAUAAUACCGAAUACGAGCUAUUGUAGAAAACCGGGGACCGUAAGACUUCGCGCGGGUGGUGCGGUCGAUGUCAGAUUAGGUAGUUGGUGAUGUAAACGCUCACCAAGCCAACGAUCUGUAGCUGGUCUGAGAGGACGAGCAGCCACACUGGAACUGAGACCCGGCCCAGACGCCUACGGGAGGCAGCAGUGGGGAAUUUUUGACAAUGGGCGCAAGCCUGAUCCAGCAAUGCCGCGUGCAGGAAGAAGGCCUUCGGGUUGUAAACUGCUUUUGUACGGAACGAAACGGCUCUGGUUAAUACCCUGGUCUAAUGACGGUACCGUAAGAAUAAGCACCGGCUAACUACGUG
Molecule: ribosomal RNA, 482 nt
Filed under: uncultured bacterium
Lineage: Bacteria
Description: partial 16S ribosomal RNA
Rfam family: Bacterial small subunit ribosomal RNA
Source: RNAcentral